GCUUGUCUCAAAGAUUAAGCCAUGCAUGUCGUAGUACUUGCUUUUCUUUACGAAUGGGCGAAACCGCGGACGGCUCAUUAAAUCGGUUACGGUUCACUCGCCCGUCCGCGUCCCGCUUUGUCGGGGCGUAGUCGGAUAACUGUGGUAAUUCUAGAGCUAAUACGUGCAACAUACGGCCUCCGAGAAUAUCGGGGGCCGGCAUUUAUUAGUCCGGCGUGCGUGGCCUUUUAGGUCUCGUGUGCCUGACGGCUCUGAAUAACGGCGGCGGAUCGUCCUCUUUCGAGGACGACCGGGCUUUUGAGUGUCCGCCUUAUCAACUGUCGACGGUAGGUUCAGCGCCUACCCGUGGUGGUUACGGGUGACGGGGAAUCAGGGUUCGAUUCCGGAGAGGGAGCCUGAAAGACGGCUACCACAUCCAAGGAAGGCAGCAGGCACGCAAAUUACCCACUCUCCGAAAGAGAGGAGGUAGUGACGAAAAAUAACGAUACGGGACUCUUAACGAGGCCUCGUAAUCGGAAUGAGACCGCUUCAAAUCCUCGAGACGAGGAUCUAUCGGAGGGCAAGUCUGGUGCCAGCAGCCGCGGUAAUUCCAGCUCCGAUAGCGUAUAUUAAAGUCGCUGCGGUUAAAAAGCUCGUAGUUGGAUUUGGGUCGACCGGGCCGCCGGGCCGCCGCCCCCGCGCGGCGAGUUCCCGUGCGUCCCCGGGACCGCACGUUCACCCCCGCGGUGCUCUUGACUGAGUGUCCGCGGUAGCGGGUGACCGAACGUUUACCUUGACAAAACCGGAGUGCUCGAGGCGUGGGCGUUCGCCGCCCGUACGUCCUCGCUGGGAAUAAUGGAAGAGGACCGUUGGUCAAAAAAGGUUUUUUGUCAAGAGAGGCGGGAGAGCGAACAAAGAGGUUGCGGUGGUGGGGGGUUCUUAAGGGGGGCAACUCCCUUUCCUCCCCUCUGCUCUUCCUCUUUCUCCUUCCUCGAAACCUUCCUCCCCGCGUCCCGCGUCGAGGCGCGGUGGGCGUCUUUCGGCGGAAAGGGUGGUUUGAGAAAGAAGGGUGGAAACGGGUGUUCGUUUGUCGGACGUCCGCGGAAACCCGGAAUCUUAUUCCCUCUCACUGUCGGGGUGCUUCCGUUUUCUCGGCGUCAGCGGGAGGAGGUCGAAAAUCAAAAUAAAUAUAACGUGUCAUGAUUAAGAGGGACGGCCGGGGGCAUUCGUACCGCGGCGCGAGAGGUGAAAUUCUAGGACCGUCGCGAGACGAACGAUAGCGAAAGCAUUUGCCAAGAAUGUUUUCCUUUAAUCAAGAACGAAAGUCGGAGGUUCGAAGGCGAUCAGAUACCGCCCUAGUUCCGACCUUAAACCAUGCCGUCCGACCGCCCGCCAGGGUUACUACCGCGACUCGGCGGGCGGUGACUUUCCACCGGGAAACCCUUAAGCUUUCGGGUUCCGGGGGAAGUACGGUCGCAAAGCUGAAACUUAAAGGAAUUGACGGAAGGGCACCACCAGGAGUGGAGCCUGCGGCUUAAUUUGACUCAACACGGGGAACCUCACCCGGCCCGGACACCGCGAGGAUUGACAGAUCGAUAGCUCUUUCUCGAUCCGGUGGGUGGUGGUGCAUGGCCGUUCUUAGUUGGUGGAGCGAUCUGUCUGGUUAAUUCCGAUAACGAACGAGACUCUAGCCGGUUAAGUAGCCCGAGUGGCGUGUUGUUGACUUAAAAACCGCCUCGGCGACGAUCGGGGUGUUUCCCUAAUGCCGUCUGGUUUUAACGCCGAUAGGGUGGUGGAAGGUGACAUUUCGAGCCGCGUGUGUCCGACGUCUCUUCGGGGGCGCCGGCACCGCGACCGGAUCUUGCUUUUUUACCUCCCCUGUCCCGUUUUGGCCUUUCGCUUUUUGGAACCUCUGUUUCGCUCGUCCGAGGUAGAAAAAACGCUAACGAGAGUCGGGGAAGUGGUUGUUACUCGUGGUUCGUGGGGGCAUACCUUAUGGUGUGUCCCCCUUCCCGGUUUCAAAUGUCUGCUUUUCCCGUCGUCUCGCGCCACCGGCUUUCGAGUGCAAAAGCUUCUUAGAGGGACGAGCGGCGUUCAGCCGCGCGAGAUUGAGCGAUAACAGGUCUGUGAUGCCCUUAGAUGUCCGGGGCCGCACGCGCGCUACACUGAAGGGGUCAACGCGCCGUCACGUUUCCCGGGCCGAAAGGCUCGGGGAACCGGUGGAACCCCGACGUAGCGUUCGUGCUAGGGACAGGGACUUGCAAUUGUGUCCCUCCAACGAGGAAUUCCCAGUAGGCGCGAGUCAUCAGCUCGCGCCGAUUACGUCCCUGCCCUUUGUACACACCGCCCGUCGCUACUACCGAUCGAACGAUUUAGCGAGGUCUUCGGACCGGCGGCCGAAGUGCGCGAGCGCCGGCGGCUUUCGCCGGGAAGAUGCCCGAACUUGAUCGUUUAGAGGAAGA
RNAcentral lists this ribosomal RNA (2441 nucleotides) under Oroperipatus sp. MCZ 131423. Its description in RNAcentral is "bacterial SSU rRNA". It matches the Rfam family "Eukaryotic small subunit ribosomal RNA". The record is from RNAcentral. Lineage: Eukaryota; Metazoa; Onychophora; Udeonychophora; Euonychophora; Peripatidae.